Molecule: non-coding RNA, 32 nt
Filed under: Geobacter sulfurreducens PCA
Lineage: Bacteria; Pseudomonadati; Thermodesulfobacteriota; Desulfuromonadia; Geobacterales; Geobacteraceae
Source: RNAcentral
UGGACGAGCGCAGUCAGGAGAAGUUGCUCGUC